CAGGAGCGAGGCAUGGACAUAAUCCCAGUCAUCUUCACUAGCUGAGCUGCGGUGAUAUACGAGUCACUUAAUGCACACGACCAAGUGGAUGCAUGACGUGGAGACGCCAAGCAGAGAAACGGCUGCCAUUGAACGAAGAAGAAGAAAAAAAGACAUGAGAAAUAAACCAUCAGCUGUAGCCCCCCAUGAGGAAGAUGCUGUCAUUCAAAACAGCACAGCCCGGGCCGCUGCGACCCUCCAGGAUGGGCGUCUGCAGGAUGUUCCACUGGUCAGCUUUCGGGUCGUAACACUCCACCAACAUUACGUCUAGAUGGGAGAAACCUGUGAGAGAGGAAGAACAACAUCUUAAAGAAGGAUCUGAUGAGAAUACUUCCGUGCAGGGCCUCCGACGCCGGUUUGAUUAAAUCUACAAGCUUUUCCUCAAGUACCUGAACGUUGCCAGAAUCGGAAGGCAAGGCCUUUUAUUAAUAUAGCACAUUUCAUUUCGAGUAAAGUCAAUUUACUUUAGAUCAGUGUACAUUAAAAUGAAUGUACAGUUAAGAACACACAAUCCAACACCCCAUCCAAAGAUACACAAAGCAACACACUCAUGCAGCAACUAGCAAAGCCUGAGAAAACAAAGAAGAGAAAUAAAAGUGUGGAUACAGUUGUGACAGAUCUCAGGCGGACUCAUAGGUUUCCAUGAGCUACAUUUGAAACUGGCAGAUCAGAGCUUUUAUGCAUUGGUAAUGUGCAUUUAAUAGUCCUUUAAAUGAGUUAGUUUAACAGUGUAUUCCAAAAGAAAGACAUCAAUUACAGCUUUUUUCCUAAUUCCCAUUC
This is a long non-coding RNA of Cottoperca gobio, 819 nucleotides long. RefSeq lists it as uncharacterized. The transcript is spliced from 4 exons. The record is from RefSeq and is a predicted model, not a curated record. NCBI's taxonomy places the organism in Eukaryota, Metazoa, Chordata, Actinopteri, Perciformes, Bovichtidae.